UCUCUCGUAGCUUAGUGGUCAGAGUAUUGUUGCGUAAAACCAAAGGUCCUAGGUUCGAUUCCCGGCGGGGGUG
Molecule: transfer RNA, 73 nt
Filed under: Agrilus planipennis (emerald ash borer)
Lineage: Eukaryota; Metazoa; Arthropoda; Insecta; Coleoptera; Buprestidae
Rfam family: tRNA
About the family: Transfer RNA (tRNA) molecules are approximately 80 nucleotides in length. Their secondary structure includes four short double-helical elements and three loops (D, anti-codon, and T loops). Further hydrogen bonds mediate the characteristic L-shaped molecular structure. tRNAs have two regions of fundamental functional importance: the anti-codon, which is responsible for specific mRNA codon recognition, and the 3' end, to which the tRNAs corresponding amino acid is attached (by aminoacyl-tRNA synthetases). tRNAs cope with the degeneracy of the genetic code in two manners: having more than one tRNA (with a specific anti-codon) for a particular amino acid; and 'wobble' base-pairing, i.e. permitting non-standard base-pairing at the 3rd anti-codon position.
Source: Rfam by way of RNAcentral